This 253-nucleotide ribosomal RNA is filed under the name uncultured bacterium. Its description in RNAcentral is "partial 16S ribosomal RNA". It matches the Rfam family "Bacterial small subunit ribosomal RNA", at positions 524 to 776 of the family's 1533-position model. The record is from RNAcentral.
UACGGAGGGUGCAAGCGUUGUCCGGAUUUAUUGGGUUUAAAGGGUGCGUAGGCGGCCCGUUAAGUCAGUGGUGAAAGCCUCCAGCUCAACUGGAGAACUGCCAUUGAUACUGACGGGCUUGAGUACAGACGAGGUUGGCGGAAUUGAUUGUGUAGCGGUGAAGUGCAUAGAUACAAUCAAGAACUCCGAUUGCGUAGGCAGCUAACUAGGCUGUAACUGACGCUGAGGCACGAAAGCGUGGGGAGCGAACAGG